CCUACGGGAGGCAGCAGUGAGGAAUAUUGGUCAAUGGACGAGAGUCUGAACCAGCCAAGUAGCGUGAAGGAUGACUGCCCUAUGGGUUGUAAACUUCUUUUAUAUGGGAAUAAAACGCGGCACGUGUGCCUUUGUGCAUGUACUUUAUGAAUAAGGAUCGGCUAACUCCGUGCCAGCAGCCGCGGUAAUACGGAGGAUCCGAGCGUUAUCCGGAUUUAUUGUGUUUAAAGGGAGCGUAGAUGGGUUGUUAAGUCAGUUGUGAAAGUUUGCGGCUCAACCGUAAAAUUGCAAUUGAUACUGGCAGUCUUGAGUACAGUUGAGGUAGGCGGAAUUCGUGGUGUAGCGGUGAAAUGCUUAGAUAUCACGAAGAACCCCGAUUGCGAAGGCAGCUUACUAAACUGUGACUGACAUUGAUGCUCGAAAGUGUGGGUAUCAAACAGGAUUAGAUACCCGUGUAGUC
RNAcentral lists this ribosomal RNA (460 nucleotides) under uncultured bacterium. RNAcentral's name for it is "partial 16S ribosomal RNA". It matches the Rfam family "Bacterial small subunit ribosomal RNA", at positions 338 to 795 of the family's 1533-position model. The record is from RNAcentral.